GAUGAACGCUAGCUACAGGCUUAACACAUGCAAGUCGAGGGGAAACGGGCGCCAAGCUUGCUUGGCGCAGUCGUCGACCGGCGAAUGGGUGAGUAACGCGUAUCCAACCUGGCCGUAAGCAGAGAAUAGGCUUCCGAAAGAAAGAUUAAUGCUCUAUGUAGUCACCCGAAGGCAUCGGAAGGUGACCAAAGAUCCGUCGCUUACGGAUGGGGAUGCGUCUGAUUAGGCAGUUGGCGGGGCAAAGGCCCACCAAACCGACGAUCAGUAGGGGUUCUGAGAGGAAGGUCCCCCACAUUGGAACUGAGACACGGUCCAAACUCCUACGGGAGGCAGCAGUGAGGAAUAUUGGUCAAUGGGCGAGAGCCUGAACCAGCCAAGUAGCGUGCAGGACGACGGCCCUAUGGGUUGUAAACUGCUUUUGAAGGGGAAUAAAGUGAGCGACGUGUCGUUCAUUGCAAGUACCCUUGGAAUAAGGACCGGCUAAUUCCGUG
RNAcentral lists this ribosomal RNA (491 nucleotides) under uncultured organism. Its description in RNAcentral is "bacterial SSU rRNA". It matches the Rfam family "Bacterial small subunit ribosomal RNA", at positions 28 to 507 of the family's 1533-position model. The record is from RNAcentral.